GCUGGGAUAGCUCAGUUGGUAGAGCAUCUCCAUGGUAAGGAGAAGGUCGUGGGUUCGAAUCCCAUUCCCAGCU
Molecule: transfer RNA, 73 nt
Filed under: Elusimicrobia bacterium RIFCSPHIGHO2_02_FULL_57_9
Lineage: Bacteria; Pseudomonadati; Elusimicrobiota
Description: tRNA-Thr
Rfam family: tRNA
About the family: Transfer RNA (tRNA) molecules are approximately 80 nucleotides in length. Their secondary structure includes four short double-helical elements and three loops (D, anti-codon, and T loops).
Source: RNAcentral